AUAUUCAGAUAGCCAUGCAUGUCUAAGUAUAAAAGCUAUACAAUGAAACUGCGAAAGGCUCAUUAAAACAGUUAUAGUUUAUUUGGUAAUACACUUACAUGGAUAACCGUGGUAAUUCUAGAGCUAAUACAUGCUGUUAAGCCUGACUUCUUGAAGGGCUGUAUUUAUUAGAUAACAGACCAAUAUUCCUCGUGUCUAUUGAGGUGACUCAUAGUAACUGAUCGGAUCGCACGGGCUUGCCCGCGACAAACCAUUCAAGUUUCUGCCCCAUCAGCUUUCGAUGGUAGUGUAUUGGACUACCAUGGCUUUUACGGGUAACGGAGGAUUAGGGUUCGAUUCCGGAGAGGGAGCCUGAGAAACGGCUACCACAUCUAAGGAAGGCAGCAGGCGCGUAAAUUACCCAAUCCUGACUCAGGGAGGUAGUGACAAGAAAUAACGGGCCGGGUUCUAAAUCCGGGACUGAAAUGAGAUGAAUUUACACCCCUUAUUGAGGAUCAAUU
RNAcentral lists this ribosomal RNA (500 nucleotides) under uncultured eukaryote. Its description in RNAcentral is "SSU rRNA". It matches the Rfam family "Eukaryotic small subunit ribosomal RNA", at positions 34 to 549 of the family's 1831-position model. The record is from RNAcentral.